AGCAGCCGCGGUAAUUCCAGCUCCAAUAGCGUAUAUUAAAGUUGUUGCAGUUAAAAAGCUCGUAGUUGAAUUUCGGGAUCAGACUGUCGGUCGUGCCUCGGUACGCACUGGCAUUAUUGGUUCCUACCUUCUGAAGAACCGCGAUGUCAUUAAUUUGGUGUCGCGGGGAAUCAGGACUGUUACUUUGAAAAAAUUAGAGUGUUUAAAGCAGGCUUACGCUUGAAUACAUUAGCAUGGAAUAAUGAAAUAGGACGUUUGAUUCUAUUUUGUUGGUUUCUAGGAUCGACGUAAUGAUUAAUAGGGAUAGUUGGGGGCAUUAGUAUUCAAUUGUCAGAGGUGAAAUUCUUGGAUUUAUUGAAGACUAACUACUGCGAAAGCAUUUGCCAAGGAUGUUUUCAUUAAUCAAGAACGAAAGUUAGGGGAUCGAAGACGAUCAGAUACCGUCGUAGUCUUAACCAUAAACUAUGCCGACUAGGGAUCGGAUGAUGUUAAUUUUUUAAUGACUCAUUCGGCGCCUUACG
RNAcentral lists this ribosomal RNA (521 nucleotides) under uncultured Glomeraceae. Its description in RNAcentral is "SSU rRNA". It matches the Rfam family "Eukaryotic small subunit ribosomal RNA", at positions 569 to 1092 of the family's 1831-position model. The record is from RNAcentral. Lineage: Eukaryota; Fungi; Glomeromycota; Glomeromycetes; Glomerales; Glomeraceae.